UGCAGUCGACGGUGAAGCAGAGCUUGCUCUGUGGAUCAGUGGCGAACGGGUGAGUAACACGUGAGCAACCUGCCCCGGACUCUGGGAUAAGCGCUGGAAACGGCGUCUAAUACCGGAUACGAGACAAGACGGCAUCGUCAUUGUCUGGAAAGAUUUUUUGGUCUGGGAUGGGCUCGCGGCCUAUCAGCUUGUUGGUGAGGUAAUGGCUCACCAAGGCGUCGACGGGUAGCCGGCCUGAGAGGGUGACCGGCCACACUGGGACUGAGACACGGCCCAGACUCCUACGGGAGGCAGCAGUGGGGAAUAUUGCACAAUGGGCGAAAGCCUGAUGCAGCAACGCCGCGUGAGGGAUGACGGCCUUCGGGUUGUAAACCUCUUUUAGCAGGGAAGAAGCGAAAGUGACGGUACCUGCAGAAAAAGCGCCGGCUAACUACGUGCCAGCAGCCGCGGUAAUACGUAGGGCGCAAGCGUUAUCCGGAAUUAUUGGGCGUAAAGAGCUCGUAGGCGGUUUGUCGCGUCUGCUGUGAAAUCCCGAGGCUCAACCUCGGGCCUGCAGUGGGUACGGGCAGACUAGAGUGCGGUAGGGGGAGAUUGGAAUUCCUGGUGUAGCGGUGGAAUGCGCAGAUAUCAGGAGGAACACCGAUGGCGAAGGCAGAUCUCUGGGCCGUAACUGACGCUGAGGAGCGAAAGGGUGGGGAGCAAACAGGCUUAGAUACCCUGGUAGUCCACCCCGUAAACGUUGGGAACUAGUUGUGGGGUCCAUUCCACGGAUUCCGUGACGCAGCUAACGCAUUAAGUUCCCCGCCUGGGGAGUACGGCCGCAAGGCUAAAACUCAAAGGAAUUGACGGGGACCCGCACAAGCGGCGGANCAUGCGGAUUAAUUCGAUGCAACGCGAA
RNAcentral lists this ribosomal RNA (898 nucleotides) under Microbacterium sp. RBC16. RNAcentral's name for it is "bacterial SSU rRNA". It matches the Rfam family "Bacterial small subunit ribosomal RNA", at positions 56 to 965 of the family's 1533-position model. Lineage: Bacteria; Bacillati; Actinomycetota; Actinomycetes; Micrococcales; Microbacteriaceae. The record is from RNAcentral.